This is a long non-coding RNA of Ornithorhynchus anatinus (platypus), 759 nucleotides long. RefSeq lists it as uncharacterized. The record is from RefSeq and is a predicted model, not a curated record. The transcript has 2 exons. Lineage: Eukaryota; Metazoa; Chordata; Mammalia; Monotremata; Ornithorhynchidae.
GUGUGCAGAGCACACUAUUAAGCACUUGGAAACUGGGUUUUUUUGUAGCAGCUGGGGUAAAAAGUUUGUCAGGAACAUGACAACUAAUGGUGAGAUAAAUUGUGGGGAUUGUGAAUUAGUAUAGUGAAAUAUAAUUUUAUAUAGCAUUUUUUAGCAAAUUAUGAUUAGAAUGAUCAAGGGGUAUACCGAUUAGUUAUUUUACAAUGGCGAUUAUUAGUUAUUUUACAAUGGCGAUUAUCUAUGAAUUUCAUUUGUCCAUGUGCUCCCUGUUCCCCAUUAACACAAAGAAUUGGCUGUGGGUAGAAAAGAACUGCAAAGCCCACAAAAAAUUACCAUACUCUAGAAACACUGAGCGAGUUAGAUGAAAUCAAUGGAAUUGUCUGGUCCAAAGAGUUCUUUGUGUGGGCAAACCGGGUUAUUUUAAGGAAAGUGAUUCACAGAAAGAGCAUAGGGCAAACAGAAGAGAGUGACUUUUAACCUCGGCACCACCACGUACUUGCAUUUGAGUUUGCUCCUUUGUAAAAUGGGACAGUAAAAUGAUUCUUGUCCUCUCCUUGUGGUACAGGGAUAUUGUAAGGAAGGAGGAGACCAUCUGGCGAUGAAGCACUUAAAUUGUUUUGAACUUCUCUGAAGAGAGAUGUUGGUUUUGUCAAUAAUGAGGAAAUCCCUAAUUCUUCAAAGGAAUGACUGAAGAAUCUAUUUGGGGCAUAGGAACAAAAAUAAAAGUGUACACAUGCACGCUAUUAGACUGUAAAAUCA